GUAGGUGAACCUGCGGAAGGAUCAUUAACACAACUUAUUAUUAUCCAAUAUCAAAAAAAAAACAAAACCAAACGCGCAUUUAUCUCCACCCUAUAUCGAUUUUCCGGAGACGGAUCGAUUAGGCUAAAAAUCUUUUUUUUUUACAAUUUUAACCCCAUUAACUUAUAUUAUGUAAUAAUAAUAUAAAACCAACUCUUUGAUUCUUCUUAAAACAAGAAACAAACUAAACUAAAAUAUACAUUUGAUUAUA
This 250-nucleotide unclassified non-coding RNA is filed under the name plant metagenome. RNAcentral describes it as "partial contains small subunit ribosomal RNA, internal transcribed spacer 1, and 5.8S ribosomal RNA". The record is from RNAcentral.